Molecule: non-coding RNA, 101 nt
Organism: Acanthosepion pharaonis
Lineage: Eukaryota; Metazoa; Mollusca; Cephalopoda; Sepiida; Sepiidae
Source: the annotation of a GenBank genome assembly
ACAUUGAAAUGCCAGUUCCCAUACGAUCACCAAAGUUAGGCAAUCAUGAGACGGGUCAGUAACUAGAUGUGUGACUGCUUGGGAAUACCAGGUGCGGUAAG